GGAGAAGCCCUCAAUCAGCUCAACAAAA
This 28-nucleotide small nuclear RNA is filed under the name Arabidopsis thaliana (thale cress). Its description in RNAcentral is "snRNA_02407". Lineage: Eukaryota; Viridiplantae; Streptophyta; Magnoliopsida; Brassicales; Brassicaceae. The record is from RNAcentral.